AAGUCGUAACAAGGUAACCGUAGGUGAACCUGCGGUUGGAUCAUUACCAAUCCUGGACUCGCAAGAGUCCUUCAACCCCAUGUGCACUUAAUAUUGUUUCUGGGUGUCUAGGCACCCAAACUUAUAAACUUAACAUUUGUCUGAUAUUAUUUAUAUAAUAAAAAACAACUUUUGACAACGGAUCUCUUGGCUCUC
Molecule: unclassified non-coding RNA, 195 nt
Filed under: fungal sp.
Lineage: Eukaryota; Fungi
Description: partial internal transcribed spacer region
Rfam family: Eukaryotic small subunit ribosomal RNA (bases 1-46)
Source: RNAcentral